RNAcentral lists this ribosomal RNA (1502 nucleotides) under uncultured Bordetella sp. RNAcentral describes it as "partial 16S-23S ribosomal RNA intergenic spacer". It matches the Rfam family "Bacterial small subunit ribosomal RNA". Lineage: Bacteria; Pseudomonadati; Pseudomonadota; Betaproteobacteria; Burkholderiales; Alcaligenaceae. The record is from RNAcentral.
GGUUUGAUUGCGGCUCAGAUUGAACGCUGGCGGGCUUGUGCUUUACACAUGCAAGUCGAACGGCAGCACGGACUUCGGUCUGGUGGCGAGUGGCGAACGGGUGAGUAAUGUAUCGGAACGUGCCUAGUAGCGGGGAUAACUACGCGAAAGCGUAGCUAAUACCGCAUACGCCCUUCGGGGGAAAGCGGGGACCUUUCGGGCCUCGCACUAUUAGAGCGGCCGGAUAUCGGAUUAGCUAUUGGUGGGGUAACGGCUCACUAAGGCGACGAUCCGUAGCUGGUUUGAGAGGACGUGACCAGCCACACUGGGACUGGAGACACGGCCCAGACUCCUACGGGAGGCAGUGCAGUGGGGAAUUUUGGACAAUGGGGGAAACCCCUGAUCCAGCCAUCCCGCGUGUGCGAUGAAGGCCUUCGGGUUGUAAAGCACUUUUGGCAGGAAAGAAACGGCACGGGAUAAUACCGUGCAACUGACGGUACCUGCAGAAUAAGCACCGGCCAACCACGUGCCAGCAGCCGCGGUAAUACGUAGGUGCAAGCGUUAAUCGGAAUUACUGGGCGCAAGCGUGCGCAGGCGGUUCGGAAAAAGAAAGAUGUGAAAUCCCAGAGCUUAACUUUGGAACUGCAUUUAACUACCGAGCUAGAGUGUGUCAGAGGGAGGUGGAAUUCCGCGUGUAGCAGUGAAAUGCGUAGAUAAGCAGGAGUGGGAAACGACCGAUGGCGAAGCGCAGCCUCCUCUUGAUAACACUGACGUGUCAUUAUGCACGAAAGCGUGGGGAGCAAACAGAUUAGAUACCCUUACAAGUAGUUCCGCCGCCCUAAACGAUGUCAACUAGCUGUUGGGCCUUCGGGCCUGGUGAAGGCAGCGCCAACGGUGAAGUUGACCGCCUGGGGAGUACGGUCGCAAGAUUAAAACUCAAAAGGAAUUGACGGACCCGCACAAGCGGUGAUGAUGUGGAUUAAUUCGAUGCAACGCGAAAACCUUACCUACCCUGACAGAUGUCUGGAAUCCUUGAAGAGAUUUGGGAGGCGUUGCAAGAGAACCGGAACACAGGUGCUGGGUAUGGUUGCCGUCAGCUCGUGUCGUGAGAUGUUGGGUUAAGUCCCGCAACGAGCGCAACCUCGUCAAGAAGAGCGCUGAAAGGGCACUCUAUCGAGACUGCCGGUGACAACCGGAGGAAGGUGGGGAUGACGCCAAGCCCUAUGGCCUCUGCGGCAGGGCUUCACACGUCAUACAAUGGUCGGGACAGUGGUCGCCAACUCCGCGAGGGGGAGCUAAUCCCAGAAACCCGAUCAGGUCCGGAUCGCAGUCUGCAACUCGACUGCGUGAAGUCGAAUCGCUAGUAAUCGCGGAUCAGCAUGUCGCGGUGAAUACGUUCCUGGCCCUGUACACACCGCCCGUCACACCAUGGGAGUGGGUUUUACCAGAAGUAGUUAGCCUAACCGUAAGGAGGGCGAUUACCACGGUAGGAUUCAGCCACUGGGGUAGUCGUAACAAGGUAG